This 468-nucleotide ribosomal RNA is filed under the name uncultured bacterium. Its description in RNAcentral is "partial 16S ribosomal RNA". It matches the Rfam family "Bacterial small subunit ribosomal RNA", at positions 28 to 507 of the family's 1533-position model. The record is from RNAcentral.
GACGAACGCUGGCGGCGUGCUUAACACAUGCAAGUCGAACGGAAAGGCCCUGCUUUUGUGGGGUGCUCGAGUGGCGAACGGGUGAGUAACACGUGAGUAACCUGCCCUUGACUUUGGGAUAACUUCAGGAAACUGGGGCUAAUACCGGAUAGGAGCUCCUGCUGCAUGGUGGGGGUUGGAAAGUUUCGGCGGUUGGGGAUGGACUCGCGGCUUAUCAGCUUGUUGGUGGGGUAGUGGCUUACCAAGGCUUUGACGGGUAGCCGGCCUGAGAGGGUGAUCGGCCACAUUGGGACUGAGAUACGGCCCAGACUCCUACGGGAGGCAGCAGUGGGGAAUAUUGCACAAUGGGCGGAAGCCCGAUGCAGCAAUGCCGCGUGCGGGAUGACGGCCUUCGGGUUGUAAACUGCUUUCGCCUGUGACGAAGCGUGAGUGACGGUAAUGGGUUAAAAAGCACCGGCUAACUACGUG